UGCCAGCCGCCGCGGUAAUACGUAGGUGGCAAGCGUUGUCCGGAUUUACUGGGCGUAAAGAGCGCGCAGGCGGCCAAGUAAGUCGAAUGUGAAAGCCCCCGGCUCAACUGGGGAAGGUCAUUCGAUACUGCCUGGUUUGAAGAUAGGAGAGGGAAGCGGAAUUUCCGGUGUAGUGGUGAAAUGCGUAGAUAUCGGAAGGAACACCAGUGGCGAAGGCGGCUUUCUGGACCAAUACUGACGCUGAGGUGCGAAAGCGUGGGGAGCAAACAGGAUUAGAUA
Molecule: ribosomal RNA, 279 nt
Filed under: uncultured bacterium
Lineage: Bacteria
Description: partial 16S ribosomal RNA
Rfam family: Bacterial small subunit ribosomal RNA
Source: RNAcentral